RNAcentral lists this long non-coding RNA (1007 nucleotides) under Mytilus galloprovincialis (Mediterranean mussel). Lineage: Eukaryota; Metazoa; Mollusca; Bivalvia; Mytilida; Mytilidae. The record is from RNAcentral.
UCGGCAUAUUAGGUAGAUUUUUCAUAUUUGAGCUUGAAUCGGAUCGUUUUUAAUGACUAAAUCUGUUAAAAUCUUUCACAUAAACUAAUUACUUCAAAUAAAAUAGACACUUAAGUGUUUAAAAAGUGGUCAAAAUCUUUCGUCAGAUGAACCUGAAAUUUGAGGCCAAAAUCGGUCCUUACCGGACCUACUCCUUUACUAUUCUAAUCAACCACAAAAAAUUUUUUAAAAAAUAUUUGUAUCAGCUCCUGUGGAUAAAACUACAUAGCUGACAUGGUUUAAAUUAAAGAAAGACCACCAAUUUCCCGGUAUCAAAUCAUUUGAAAAAAACAAUGUACUGCCAUAUGACCUUUAACAUUGAAGGGUUAAACUUGCAUUAAGUCGUGUUUAGACAGAAAAUAAAGGAAUAUGGAGUAAACGUGCACGGGACCUAAUCGCACACACAAAGUCAAUGCAUAGAAAAAAUACAAAUGAUCAAUGGUUAAAGUUUUUAUUCCUGUUCUUCAUCUUGAUAGUUGCUGGAGGGUCUUGGACUUCAAUAAUUAUAAAUACCGUAAAAGAAGGUCAAGAUGGUCCCUAGUGUCGACUUAAGCAGUACUAGUACUUAAAGUAUAAUACUGCACUGUCACUAUAUUUAAAUCUAGUCAUAAAAAAAUCACCAAAGUCAGCACAAGACAAGAGCAGACAGACAGACCCGGUAUUAAUGAUUAUGAGAAAUAAGAUUUUUACUUUAUCCUCAGGCUACAUAUCGGUGUUGCCCCUAAAACCUAAAAGUCUUAAAUUACAAUAAAUCUAUGUUUUUGCUUUGAGACCAGAAUAUUGUCGAAAAAAUAGCUAAAGAUUAUUUGCGUUUCAAUGUAAGAAAGAGUCCGUGGAACGCUCAGAAUGCAUGAUUUUGCGUUAUUUUUCUCAGAGCUUCUGGGGGCCUUUAGCGGCAAAUAUUUUUCGCCUCGCUACGCUCCGCGAAUAUGUUUUGCCUCACUAUUAAUAGAGGCUAGUUACGCCCC